CCUUCGAUAGCUCAGUUGGUAGAGCGGUGGACUGUAGUUGGAAAUGAUCGAGAUUCCCCGGAGAAAUCCAUAGGUCGCUGGUUCAAAUCCGGCUCGAAGGA
This 101-nucleotide transfer RNA is filed under the name Athalia rosae (coleseed sawfly). RNAcentral describes it as "misc RNA ENSAEAG00005004793.1". It matches the Rfam family "tRNA". From Rfam's summary of the family: Transfer RNA (tRNA) molecules are approximately 80 nucleotides in length. Their secondary structure includes four short double-helical elements and three loops (D, anti-codon, and T loops). Lineage: Eukaryota; Metazoa; Arthropoda; Insecta; Hymenoptera; Athaliidae. The record is from RNAcentral.